CUCCUACGGGAGGCAGCAGUGGGGAAUCGUUGCACAAUGGGCGAAAGGCCUGAUGCAGCGACGCCGCGUGGGGGAUGGAAGCAUUUCGGUGUGUAAACCCUUUCGACUGGGAAGAAAACCUCGCAAGAGGAUUGACGGUACCAGUAUAAGAAGCCCCGGCUAACCUACGUGCCAGCAGCCGCGGUAAUAC
This 190-nucleotide ribosomal RNA is filed under the name uncultured bacterium. RNAcentral's name for it is "partial 16S ribosomal RNA". It matches the Rfam family "Bacterial small subunit ribosomal RNA", at positions 336 to 526 of the family's 1533-position model. The record is from RNAcentral.